RNAcentral lists this ribosomal RNA (163 nucleotides) under Bupleurum scorzonerifolium. Its description in RNAcentral is "5.8S ribosomal RNA". It matches the Rfam family "5.8S ribosomal RNA". From Rfam's summary of the family: 5.8S ribosomal RNA (5.8S rRNA) is a component of the large subunit of the eukaryotic ribosome. Lineage: Eukaryota; Viridiplantae; Streptophyta; Magnoliopsida; Apiales; Apiaceae. The record is from RNAcentral. RNAcentral also lists the same sequence under 4 other names.
ACAAACGACUCUCGGCAACGGAUAUCCCGGCUCUCGCAUCGAUGAAGAACGUAGCGAAAUGCGAUACUUGGUGUGAAUUGCAGAAUCCCGUGAACCAUCGAGUUUUUGAACGCAAGUUGCGCCCGAUGCCAUUAGGCUGAGGGCACGUCUGCCUGGGUGUCAC